Molecule: long non-coding RNA, 220 nt
Filed under: Elaeis guineensis (African oil palm)
Lineage: Eukaryota; Viridiplantae; Streptophyta; Magnoliopsida; Arecales; Arecaceae
Description: long non-coding RNA (EGUI_LNC050596)
Source: RNAcentral
UUGCUUUCUACUUCCCUAUUUUCAUCGUCUAUUCUCAAGAUCCUAGCUGACUUAUGCAUCGGAGGAUCCUAAACCAGAGAGUAUCCCAUCGAUUUUUAAAUUUUUUUUGUGGAUGUACUCAUGGCUUACAUCAGUCAGACACCUGACGGCCCUCCAGAUUGGUUCUGCACCGACCUUGUUCUCUUUCCUUCGAAGCCUUGCAGCAAUAGAAUGAUUCUGA